This is a long non-coding RNA of Struthio camelus australis, 1709 nucleotides long. Lineage: Eukaryota; Metazoa; Chordata; Aves; Struthioniformes; Struthionidae. The record is from Ensembl.
CCCCACUGCGAUCGGAGUCAGGGCCUGCAGCUCUCCUGCAGCUCUCUGUGACGGUGCUUCAACUUGCAGGUUGGAGCAAGGACUGCGCGCAUGCCUCGUCACCCUACAGCCUUUGGAGACUAGUGGGUCUCAGUCUCCGCCACAUUAAUAAUCUGCUCCUGUGCAUCCCUUACAAACCUACCCACCCGUUCCUGUUCCUCACCUUCACAGUGCCUGGUGCAACACCAAAGUCUCCUGCAGCUUGUGGCUUUGCUCCAGCUCUCCCCAAACGCUCCGGUGAAAAAAGGGCCCGUGUUUACUCCGCGCAUACUGCACACAUGCCAGACUUGUUUCCUGCCUGCGUGUGCCUGCUUUGCAGUUGGAGGAGGGACUGCAGCUUUAACCUCACUGGUCGGUCCCUGCCAUAAAGAAGACAAGAUUUAAAAGCACUCCUGAAGCAAACAAGCUGAUGUGGGUUUUGGGAUCCCAGCUCAGUACAGCUGGCUGGUUCGUCUCAGUGGGAGCACAAGCACAGAAAACAGCCAGGGUCGCUCCACAAGUUCUGCCCAUCCCCUGCCACCAUCACUCAAAAUUUCACCUACCACUUUACGAGCUUUGCAAGACUCCAGGAAAGAGAUGGAGAGCACCCUGUAACAGUGCAGAGCUCUCACUACACCCAAAUGGCUUAAAGUCUGAAGGUAUUGCCUAAGGAAGGAACGAUAGGAGACAAUAACAAGGAAAACAAGCCCAAGCUGAUGGACAGAGAGGUUUAUAAAAUGUGAUUUACUUUGGUUCCUUUCUAUCACUACCUAAAUUCUGUCUCUCAUUUGAAAUUAUGGGCCUAAAUUCAGCAAACUCCUUAAAGCAUGUCCUUUUUAUGGUUUCACAGGUGCUUAUGUACAUGAGAACUUCAAAAUACCUGCUAAGAUCCCGAUCCUGCAAGUAUCUUGACACAUGUGGAGUUCUCAGCCGGUGUACAAUCCCCCGGACGUGGAUGUCACUCUGGGCAGGAAAAGGGACCCAACCCUGCUCUCAAGGGAUGCUCUCAUACGUUGACAAGUACUAAAGAAUUUAGAGUAGUCAUUCCAUUCCUGCAAGUAUUCAUGUAAAGAAGAGAUAGGUGGGACACUUCCCAUCAAAAUACUUUUUCACAAGAAAAUAUAAUUUCUGGAAGGAGGAGGAAUUGAUGUAUUUUUGCAAUUUUUCAUUGGAAAAAAUUCUCCUGAGAGCUAUAGCCUCAUGCUGCCUUGAUAAACACACACAUACGUUCUGGCAAAUGGUACAAUACUGACAUAUCAUCUCAUUGCAUUGUAAAUAAGUAGCAGUAGCAGUUCAUUACUCUAUUGGUAGGAAAAAAGAGAUGAUUCUUUGUUGCUACUUCAUGCUAGUGAAAAUUUUCCUCCUUUAGCGUACUUACAUUGAGUUUAUCUGUUUUUCUUAAUGCUUUAAAAGAAGGUGGAGGAAAGGAACUCUAACCUGGUGCUAGUCAGUAAUGCAAGAAUUUUGCCCUACUGGCCAAUUCAGAUCAGACCCAAAUUGCCUUCCAGGUCUUUAUAUGAGAGAAGCAGCAUUCAGUCACUGUGCCAAACUACACAUCUGGCUAGCAGGUUAAUGCAUUUGUGGGAAAAGGCACAUUCCACUCCAAUUUAUAAUAUACAACAAAUGCUUUUUUAAAAAGGUAUUUACUAUUCCAAAAAUAAACUAUUGGAGGAAAGAAAAAAAAAAAGACA